GAUGAACGCUGGCGGCGUGCCUAAUACAUGCAAGUCGAGCGAACAGAUAAGGAGCUUGCUCCUUUGACGUUAGCGGCGGACGGGUGAGUAACACGUGGGUAACCUACCUAUAAGACUGGGAUAACUUCGGGAAACCGGAGCUAAUACCGGAUAAUAUUUCGAACCGCAUGGUUCGAUAGUGAAAGAUGGUUUUGCUAUCACUUAUAGAUGGACCCGCGCCGUAUUAGCUAGUUGGUAAGGUAACGGCUUACCAAGGCGACGAUACGUAGCCGACCUGAGAGGGUGAUCGGCCACACUGGAACUGAGACACGGUCCAGACUCCUACGGGAGGCAGCAGUAGGGAAUCUUCCGCAAUGGGCGAAAGCCUGACGGAGCAACGCCGCGUGAGUGAUGAAGGUCUUCGGUUCGUAAAACUCUGUUAUUAGGGAAGAACAUACGUGUAAGUAACUGUGCACGUCUUGACGGUACCUAAUCAGAAAGCCACGGCUAACUACGUG
This 497-nucleotide ribosomal RNA is filed under the name uncultured bacterium. Its description in RNAcentral is "partial 16S ribosomal RNA". It matches the Rfam family "Bacterial small subunit ribosomal RNA", at positions 28 to 507 of the family's 1533-position model. The record is from RNAcentral.